This 253-nucleotide ribosomal RNA is filed under the name uncultured bacterium. Its description in RNAcentral is "partial 16S ribosomal RNA". It matches the Rfam family "Bacterial small subunit ribosomal RNA", at positions 524 to 776 of the family's 1533-position model. The record is from RNAcentral.
GACAGAGGCCUCAAGCGUUAGGCGGAAUCACUGGGCUUAAAGCGUGUGUAGGCGGAUCGUUAAGUGUCUUGUGAAAUCCCACGGCUCACCCGUGGAACUGCUGGGCAUACUGGCGAUCUUGGGCCAACUAGGGGCAACUGGAACAAGCGGUGGAGCGGUGAAAUGCGUAGAUAUCGCUUGGAACGCCGAAGGUGAAAACAGGUUGCUGGGGUUGUGCCGACGAUGAGACACGAAAGCCAGGGGAGCAAACGGG